ACAUCUUGAAUAGUACAUUCAAGAUGAGAACGUGAAAGACAAAUUUCCUUAUCUAUAGAGAACAAAGGAAAUUUGCCAAUUCCUAUUUGGUGAAGGAAUAGGAAAAUUGUCAAUCUUUAGGGUUGAGCAAUUGUUAUAAAUACCAAGAGGGCGCUUCACGAAGACUUGCGCGCCUCAGGGUAUUCUCGAGAAGGUGCACACAAGGUGUGUGGCGUCGCCCGAUCAACAAGAUAGAGAGAUCUUUUGAUGGUUUAGUAGAAGGUCUACACUAGUCGGAAAAUACAAUUAGUGGUAGUCUUCUUUCAUUGUAAUUCUAGGAAAGAGUUGGUGGAUUCCAUAUAGCAAUUGUAGGUUGCGAACUUUUCUAGUUAAUGAAUUCUGGACUAGGUCCCGGGGAUGUAGGUUAUCCGAACCCCGUUAACAAAGCUUGUGCCUUAUUUACUUUAUGCUCAUACGUACUCGAAGUCGAUCAUACACAUAGUUGAAUUAGUCACACAUAUGCAGUUACAAUUGGUAUCAGAGCGGGUUCUCGAUAGAGAUCUUUUCUUGUUUCGGGUGUUCGAUCUUGGAUGUGUGGCUAGCGGAGAAUUAGAAGUUGUUGUGUAUGUGUGAGAAAAGUCGAAGCAAAGGUAAAUAAAGUGCACAUGAUCUACGGUUACUAAUAAGAGUAUGUCUUCUGCUAUGAAUAGUCACCUAGAACAUGGAAAGCAUCGAUCAAAGUCUGGUUUGCUUCUGAUAGUAUGUCAAGCGUGGGGAAAAAGAAAGACAAGAAGGAACAGUUACGGUUUUAUGUUUUUGUUUGGGCUUCUGUUAACGGUACAUGGACCUCAAGAUAUUACAUGGGCCUGUUUUAUUGUGAAUAUAUAUGUUGGCCCAUCAGGUGGUGAAGCUACAGUUCUUGUCUGUGUUCGACAUGGAGCACAUAGGGGUUUAAUCGUGUGGUGUGAAAGAGAAGAAAUCAAGGUGCUUUUUGUUUGAGAAUUCAUCUCUCAUACCCUUUUUCACAAUUUUAUUCCACAAUCGGAGGCCCUGCGUUUCUUCUUCUCUUUUGAGCUGUACAAAGCUCCAAAAUGCAGGUACAUUCUUCAACUAUAAGCUUCAUAUUUGUUUAGAUUUUUGAAAUUUGAUUGAAUUUUGGUUGAGAAGAUAAAUUCUUAGCACAUUGGAUGUUUGACCAUGGGUUAUGGGUUGAGUGAGCUAUUUAGUUGAUUAGAAUGAAUUUUAGACCCAGAUUCGUCUUGAAUUGCAGAGUUUAGAACCCGGAAUCGAAAUUCGAUUUUGAGUAGAACUAGUAAAACUAGACACUGUGGUAAAUAUAGUAUAACUAGUAAAACUGGUAGUACUGGUAUAACUCGUAUAAAUGGUAAAACUGGUAAAACCAAGUAGUACUGGAACUGGUAAAACUAGUAAAGCUGGUAAAUCUGAUUUUGUUUAUUGUAUUUUCUUGGCAGGAAGUUAAUUCUUAUAAGGGAAGAUAUAUGUUUCCCGGUGAAAAUUUGUCAGGUCGAAACUUAGAGUUCUGGUUUUCCAAAUUCGACAAGAUUGGAAUUAAGAGAUUGUUUCAUCACACGAAUUUAAAAAAAAAAUCAAAGCGGCUUAAUUUGCGAGUUUGAAGUGUCUUUAAGUCUGGUACUGGUGGAAUAUUUGCCAGAUAUUGAGUUCAUAGGUGGAGAUUACAAUCCUAUUCGCCAAAAUUACUCAGUUUAUCAGAGGAAGGAGAGGCAUGCCACAUGUAUAAGUUUUCGCCGGAGACGUUGCUUUGUCUGACCGGAUAUGGUAAACAAAUCAGUUUCAGUUGUCGCGUGGCAAAGCGGUUUGAUGGGCUUGCUCUGAAACUUAAUUAAAGCUCGAAGCCAUAUACAGUUUUGGUUCAACAUUUCAAAGAGUUCUCGAUUCAGGAUCAUCUCAAGUUAUUCUUGUUAUUGGCUGUGGAAUCAUCAGAAAAGAAAAUCAUCAAGCAAAGGUGGUUUGAUCAACUUCUGGGUUUCAAGAAAACAUCAAGAGGAUAGCUAAAUUCAUAGGGAAGACGGGAAAAAGUUUUGAGGUGGCUGUCCAUGAAUUAUAAGAAAGAAGAUUUUGAGAACCUAGCUAAAUGAUGGUCUUCCUGAGGAGUUAAUUUAGAUUCUUUAGCAGUUGUAUUUCACGAAGAAGAGUGGAGAUUAAAGAGCUCAAGCUUGCAGCAAAUUUAUAGAGAUAGUUCAGAGAGUUAUGUCUCUGUUACCAGCCUCUCUACUUGAGAUGAUAAGAAAUCAGAGGAAUGGCUCAACAUUUCACAACGUUCAGUUAUAUGAAGUAAUGUUGAGGAGGAGACACAGAGUAUUGUCAAGCCACAAAGAAGAAAGUGUUUCGGAUUAGGCUUCUUGAUUGGUUGAAUUCUGAUUUGGAAAUGUGUUGAUGUAUGUGUCGUGAAUUGGAAUCUUUGUCUUAUUGAGACACACAAUCAACAAGAGGGAGAAGAAUGUUGCGUCUCAUAGAAAGAGCUUCGUGGGAAGAAAACAAAGAGUGUGCUUUUGUUCAAAGCUAAGAGAAAAGGGAUUUUUGUUCAUGAUGCAGCUACAGAUGGUUCUUGUCAUGAGAAAGAAAGAUGAAUCAAAGAAUGCUGAAGGAGAAGAUUGAUGCAUUCUUAAUUAGAUCAAGUAAAAGUUUGGAGAAACACAGUGAACAACAACGUAUUUCAAUCUUAGAAUGAAGGAAGCUUGUGGAAGAAAAAAUUAUAUAGAUUGACAUCAUUGUUAGUUCCGGUUGAGAAAGUUUUGUUUGUAGAAGCUCAUGACUCUAUGCAUAUGAUCAAGAGUAAUCUCACCCUCAUGAAAUUUGGAAUUUAGUCUGCAUUUGCUGUGAUUUCAUGUUAAGAGUUCAGACUUAUAAGAUAUUGUUCUGACUCCGGGUUGCUACUUUAUUCUUCAGUUACUUUGGCUACAGACCUCCGAUUUGAGCUAUCAAAGUUGUUCUGAAAACUUGAAAGCUAGAUCUUCCAAUGGUAUAAAGAUAGCUGUCUGAUUCCUUGUGGUUUUAUGGGAAAUUGUUCUCAAAGUUGGCUAGGCUGCAUCAUUCCGGAUCUGCUCUAUAAAAAAGGCGGUAACUUUCAAACCGUAUAUCCGAAUCGUGAUCUGCUUUUGCUGUGUCUUCGUAUGACUGUUGUUGAUAUUCCCACCAAAUUUAAUAAUUUUCUGGGUUGAUUUGCUACUCCAUUUGUGCUCUAUAUCAAAACUGAUGAGAAAGACAGAAUUUUAGUUGCUUCAAGAGAAGAAGUUGUGAAGUAACAUCUUGAAGGCUAGCUUGCGCAUCUUAAUUUUAAGGAAAAGGGUAUCUUGUUAGUCAUGAAGAAUAGAGAGCUGCAACUAUGGGGGAGAAGACAGGAAAAAGGAGAUAUGAACUAUAUCAUCAAUGUAUAUGAUUUACAGAUUAGAGAAGUGAUGAGAAAACAGUUUCAAGAUGUCUGAUUGAAGGUAACUUUUAGUGGAUGAAACGUAUUCUGAUUGAGCUGAAAUUCUGUUUUGAGUUGCAACGGUGGGAUUGAGAUUUGGACGGUUGGCUUGUAGUUUAUUUGAGCUUCUUCAAUCUGAUCUAGGCACAGAUUAUCUCAAGUUUCAGAUCUGACCACCUAUGAUGGAGACAUUAAACCGACGAUCAGCUGAACUCGGAAUGAGAUGCAAUUUGGUAGAGAUACACCAGACAUGUGAAACUAGAUUCCAGUUUAAGGGUAAUGGAUUUAGAGUCCAGGAACAUAGUUGAACGAUGACUUUUCAGAACAGUUGUUUCAGAGUUUUAUGAACCAAUGAAUUUCAGAUAAGAUUUUGCAGAAAUUUUGGUAGAAGUGCAAAGGAUUCAGAGGCAAGGAACAUAGUUAAAUUAAGGAUUUAUCAACCUUGAGAUUGAUUAUCAUUGUGUUAAAAAAAAGGGAGAGUCUCAAGAACGUCAGUAGAUCAGUUGGUGAGAGUUAGCUACAAGGAAAGCCAACAGAAUGGUUUAAGUCUAACAAAAUAUCAGCAGUGCAAAGAUAGAUCCAAGUUUUCUACAAGUAAGUUAGGAAGCAUGUUUGUUCAAAGAGAAGGAGACUACGAGGCAGAUUCUCAAGAAAGAAAAAAUGGACAUCAAGAUGAGCUGGUACACUUAUUUUGAGAAAAGCUGAAUUGCUGGUUAAACAUCUUGAAUAGUACAUUAAAGAUGAGAACGUGAAAGACAAAUUUCCUUAUCUAUAAAGAACAAAGGAAAUUUGCUAAUUCCUAUUUGGUGAAGGAAUAGGAAGAUUGUCAAUCUUUAGGGUUGAGCAAUUGUUAUAAAUACUAAGAGGGCGCUUCAUGAAGACUUGCGCACCUCAGGGUAUUCUCGAGAAGAUGCACACAAGGUGUGUGGCGUCG
This 4361-nucleotide long non-coding RNA is filed under the name Capsella rubella. RNAcentral describes it as "long non-coding RNA (CRUB_LNC000648)". The record is from RNAcentral. Lineage: Eukaryota; Viridiplantae; Streptophyta; Magnoliopsida; Brassicales; Brassicaceae.